GAAGAUGCUCAGGCAUUCGUGAAAGAAGGUGAAAAUUAUGAGAGAGAGGUGCAGUUUCUCAAAUUCGGGAAAGUGAAGAGAGCUGAGCCCCUUAUGGAUGACAAGCUGAUGGAAUUUGUGCGCCAGAAACGCCUGGCUGCAGCUGUUGAAGUCUAGGACUGAAGAUGCUGGUGGCAGUCUGGACCUGUCUCCCUCCAGUGGCAUGAGGAGAUGAUCAUCCCUGGAUGACCCCACCUGUUCCCCUGUGAGCCCUGGGCCAUUUCCCUCUAACGAUCAAUAAACCCCUUCAGCAAUGCUA
Molecule: long non-coding RNA, 298 nt
Organism: Tyto alba (common barn owl)
Lineage: Eukaryota; Metazoa; Chordata; Aves; Strigiformes; Tytonidae
Exons: 5
Source: RefSeq, a predicted model, not a curated record